CAAACUGAUCAAAAGUAAAACAAAAUUCAAAACUCUCUCUCUCUCUCUCUCCCCAACUAGCCGUUCUUCUUUACCGGCGGCGUCUCCAUCGGCGAGGACCUUUCCCCCAACUCAACCAGCCACAUCUCUCUGAUUGCCGUCUCCACCGGCGACGGAACGAAGUUUAAGUUUUCUGAUUAUUUUUUUUCCUUGUUUUUUUUUACAUGAGGCACGAUCUUCUUCUUUUCUUUCUUUUUUUUUACAUAUUUUUUGUUCUGGGUUCGAUUUAGUUCGCGGGUGGAAGAUGAAAGAGGGUGGCGUUGGGUGAUUAAGUUAACCGGCCGUCCAAGCAUUUUGACUCUCUGGGCAUCAAGAAGGGAAUUGUAUGAUGAGCUGCAAGAGUCACUUUACGAAUUCUUGGAAGCAAAGGGAUGAGUUGCAAGAGCCACAGCAUUCAAAAAAUAUAAUAUAGCUUGUCUUUCAAAAAAUAUAAUAUAGCUUGUCUUUUUUGUAAUUGACUUAUGUACCUAUACUUUGAGUUAUAACUUAUCUAUUUUAAUCUUUUAGCUUAACA
Long non-coding RNA from Alnus glutinosa, 553 nucleotides. RefSeq lists it as uncharacterized. The record is from RefSeq and is a predicted model, not a curated record. The transcript is spliced from 2 exons. NCBI's taxonomy places the organism in Eukaryota, Viridiplantae, Streptophyta, Magnoliopsida, Fagales, Betulaceae.